UCUCGUUUAAGUGGGCCUAAACCCAUUGAAGUAAUCCAACCACGCAGACUAAUUCCAAUCUCGCAGCCUGGUGUGAAAACCCAAGCCCGUAGCUAGCCCACGUCAUCCUUCUAGACAUUCUCCCACCCGCGACUUCAUUUCCGUUCCUCAACUCCUCAGAUCUCAGUUCCAGUCCCUGACUCCCUGCAGUUCGUGACAUUGCACAGCUCCCUCACGUGGCACACCAUUUUCGCUGCACCAUUGAGCACCUUUCGGACCGGACCUUCUCUCUAUCUCGCUCUCUCUCUAAUGGAUUCAAAAGGAAAUUGAGAUCCAUUAGAAAUUCAUGUAAGCUUCGGUUCGAACUUCCACGAGGACGACGACACCACGCCACCGACCAUGGACAAGUCGAGCGCGCUGGAAUAAAUCAAUCAGAUGUUCCCAUACAGAGGCAUCUUUAUCUGGUGUUGAGCCACUCAUGCAAAAGAUACACAGUGAGAUUCGUCGCGUGGAUGCUGGAAUAUUGGCAGCUGUUCGCC
Long non-coding RNA from Juglans regia (Persian walnut), 518 nucleotides. RefSeq lists it as uncharacterized. The transcript is spliced from 2 exons. The record is from RefSeq and is a predicted model, not a curated record. NCBI's taxonomy places the organism in Eukaryota, Viridiplantae, Streptophyta, Magnoliopsida, Fagales, Juglandaceae.